Molecule: ribosomal RNA, 253 nt
Filed under: uncultured bacterium
Lineage: Bacteria
Description: partial 16S ribosomal RNA
Rfam family: Bacterial small subunit ribosomal RNA
Source: RNAcentral
UACGAAGGGGGCGAGCGUUGUUCGGAAUCACUGGGCGUAAAGGGCGCGUAGGCGGCUUUAUAAGUCGGGGGUGAAAGCCUGUGGCUCAACCGCAGAAUUGCCUUCGAUACUGUAGAGCUUGAGACCGGAAGAGGUAAGUGGAACUGCGAGUGUAGAGGUGAAAUUCGUAGAUAUUCGCAAGAACACCAGUGGCGAAGGCGGCUUACUGGUCCGGUUCUGACGCUGAGGCGCGAAAGCGUGGGGAGCAAACAGG